This is a long non-coding RNA of Pseudopipra pipra, 2296 nucleotides long. RefSeq lists it as uncharacterized. The transcript is spliced from 2 exons. NCBI's taxonomy places the organism in Eukaryota, Metazoa, Chordata, Aves, Passeriformes, Pipridae. The record is from RefSeq and is a predicted model, not a curated record.
UGAGCCGUGGCCGGGUCGAGUCUUGUCCGGGCCAUGUCCGAGCGGAGCCGUGUCCAGGCCGGGCCUUGUCCGGGGCCUAGCGUUGUCCGGGCCAAGCCUUGUCCCGGGCCGGGUCAGGAGCCGCCCUAACUGUGGGAACGGCCUGUCCCGGGCAGCGGGCACCGGCCCCGCCGUGGUGUGCAGGCCUGGAGGAGCUCUCCCCUCAGGGAGGGACUGGCUGAGGGACCCUUCCGCGUCGGGUUAGGUUGGGCAUCAGGAAUUUCUCCCUGGAAAGGGUGUUCAGGCACUGGCAGGGGCUGCCCAGGGAGGUGUUGGAGUCCCCAGCCCUGGAGGUGUCCAAGGAAGGCCUGGCCGUGGCACUGAGUGCUCUGGGCUGGGGACAAGGUGGGGAUGGGGCACAGGGUGGAUCCAUGGGCUGGGAGGACUUUUCCAACCGCAGCGAUUCCUUCGUUCGUGAAGCCUAGCCAUGAUUCCAUGUUAGGGAAAUUGUGUGGAAUAAGCGGCUUUGCUGAACAUGCGCUGCUGCCGUUCGGGCUGCUCUGGGACCCUCACCCGUGUGGUGGCACCGGGGCUUGAUGGGCUCCAGCAGCCCCAGGAGCGGGGGGGAAACGGGAGGGUGAGGACAGCCCUGAGCCCCCGGCACGGGGGUGCAGCCGGGGAGGGGGGCUGGGCCAGGGGGGCUUCAGCUGCCCGUGUUGGGGUGUCCUGAGAUGCCCUGGCUCCGGUGCUGGGAGAGAAGGGGGGAAAAUUUGGGAUGGGUGCUGGGGGACAGGAGGGGAUAUUUGAAAUGUGUGCUGGGGGACAGGAGGGAUAUUCACAAGGAUCAGGAGAUAUUGUUGGACUCACACCUCUCAUAUCACAUCUCUGCCACAGGCUGCUUCAGCACCUUUAUUUUUCACGUGUUCCGAGGGAGGUCGUGAGGUUUCAGGUAGAUACAAGGGUGUCAAUUCACAGGCUUGGCACCCCUGGCCCGAGAAUGAGCACUGUGCUGAUUAAAAUCAGAUGCCAAAGCACUUCCUGCCCCUCUCCCGGUGGUGACUGAAUGAUGGCAUUGCAGAAAUGAUGGAAAAUCCACAGCCAGGAGCUGUGCAACCCUCCCUGGCAAGAGCUGGGCUGUGGCUGAGGAGCAGCCCAUGGGAUCCACCACACAGCAGCCAAACCCACCCUGCCAACCCCAAAAUUAAACCUGCAAUGCUUAAUUAUCCAGCUGAGGCUGCUCAGGGACAGCAGGUGACAACUGAAGGGGUGGCACAGACCCCUGGGCUGGUGCCCCCAUGGCUCUGCUCACCUAUGUGCUGUGCUUUGCUGCUGGCACCCACAGAGAUCCUGGAGGCAGGAGAUUGACUGUGAGCAAAUCUCAGCUUCCCUUUCGAGUAAUUGAAUGUUUUCAGUCUUUCCAGGUUGGUUGUAAACACCUCAAAAACAUAAUCUGGAAUCAAAGCCCACAAAGCCCAUCAGGAGCUUUAUUGAGGUUUAUGAUUUUUGCUGGGGGUUGUGGUUUCUCAGGCAGCAGUGCUUUCUGGCUCCAUGUAACUCCUGGCCUUUGCCUUGCCCUAUUCCAGCCGCUUCCUUCUUCCCUUGGGCUCCAGGCCCUCUGUGCUCCUGGAGCAGCAUUGCCACAGCUCAGGACAUGGCUCCAGCUCUGCCCAAACCCUGCUGUCAUCUCUCCAGUGGGGCAGGUGAGCUGGAUCCAGCUCUGCCCCUUGUUUCUGCCAGCUGGAACAGAAUGGGAUGAUCCCCAUCUCUCUGAAGCCGCGUGAUCCCCCUCUUUCAGGCACAGCAAUCAAACCCCUCCACACAGCGAGCCCCAGGCUGGCAGCUGGGCAGGACUGGCCUCUGCUUCCAGCCCAGGAGUCAAAUGUCAGCUGGAACACAGGGAAGAGGAUUUUCUCCCUGGCUGUGGCAGGCCCAGGCGGUUUGGGAAGCCUUGCUGAGAUAUUGAGUCCAUCCACAGAGCAGCAAUGCUGCAUCCUCAGACAAUCCCAACCUAAUCCUGCGUCUGAAACUGCUCCCACAUCCAGGAGAUGAGGAAACACUCUCUGCAUGUGUUAUCUUGUGUAUCUCAAGUUCUGUUUGAUCUGAUGGGGUGGAGGGUUUUUUUCAAAGGUAUUGGAGAAGAUGGGUGUGUGAGAGUAAUUUAGGGCUGGGAGUAAUUUUUCAUCAAUGUACUUAAAGACAAUCACAGCACUAGGAGGGAGGCCUAAUUGUGGAGUUGUGUAAUUAGUUUUUAUUUCACUGCAAUUAUUCUGUUGGCUACAUAUAAAGAACAUGGCAAAAUGCGGCACUUAAUUUUAAA